ACGUAGGUUGCAAGCGUUGUCCGGAUUUAUUGGGCGUAAAGCGAGCGCAGGCGGUUCGUUAAGUCUGAUGUGAAAGCCCCCGGCUCAACCUGGGAGGGUCAUUGGAAACUGGAGAACUUGAGUGCAGUAGAGGAGACUGGAAUUCCACGUGUAGCGGUGAAAUGCGUAGAUAUGUGGAGGAACACCAGUGGCGAAGGCGACUCUCUGGGCUGUAACUGACGCUGAGGGUCGAAAGCGAGGGGAGCAAACAGGAUUAGAUACCCUGGUAGUCCACGCCGUAAACGAUGA
Molecule: ribosomal RNA, 288 nt
Filed under: uncultured bacterium
Lineage: Bacteria
Description: partial 16S ribosomal RNA
Rfam family: Bacterial small subunit ribosomal RNA
Source: RNAcentral